Molecule: ribosomal RNA, 383 nt
Filed under: Arachnia propionica
Lineage: Bacteria; Bacillati; Actinomycetota; Actinomycetes; Propionibacteriales; Propionibacteriaceae
Description: bacterial SSU rRNA
Rfam family: Bacterial small subunit ribosomal RNA
Source: RNAcentral
GACGAACGCAGGCGGUGUGCUUACCACAUGCAAGUCGAACGGUAAGGCCCUUUCGGGGGUACACGAGUGGCGAACGGGUGAGUAACACGUGAGUAACCUGCCCCUCAUAUCUGGGGAUAACAGUCGGAAACGGUUGCUAAUACUGGAUAUGAGCUUGCAAGGCAUCUUUGUGGGUUGGAAAGAUUUUUUGGUUGGGGAUGGACUCGCGGCCUAUCAGCUUGUUGGUGAGGUAGUGGCUCACCAAGGCUUCGACGGGUAGCCGGCCUGAGAGGGCGACCGGCCACAUUGGGACUGAGAUUACGGGCCCCAGACUUCCUUACGGGAGGCCAGGCAGUGGGGGAAUUAUUUGCCACAAAUGGGACGGGAAAGUUCUGAAUGCAGCA